UUUCCGUAGGUGAACCUGCGGAAGGAUCAUUAAUGGAGACUUGCUGCCACUCUGUUGAGUGUGCUGGCAAUCGCCCAUCCUGUGUUGUGUGCGUGUAUGUGUGUGUGUGCUUUUGCACACAUGUGCUUGUUAACCCAUGUGUUUAUUGAUUCUGAUACAACUGCUCGCAAGCCCAGCAAUGGGCAGCGACACAACAAUCGAAAACUGCCACCAAUGGAUCACUUGGUUCUC
Molecule: unclassified non-coding RNA, 231 nt
Filed under: soil metagenome
Description: partial contains small subunit ribosomal RNA and internal transcribed spacer 1
Source: RNAcentral